GGGGCUGUGGCUCUGCAGUAGAAUAUCUGCUUGGCAUGCAGAAGGGCCCAGGUUCCAUCCCCAGCAUCUCCA
Molecule: transfer RNA, 72 nt
Filed under: Sphaerodactylus townsendi
Lineage: Eukaryota; Metazoa; Chordata; Lepidosauria; Squamata; Sphaerodactylidae
Description: tRNA-Ala
Rfam family: tRNA
About the family: Transfer RNA (tRNA) molecules are approximately 80 nucleotides in length. Their secondary structure includes four short double-helical elements and three loops (D, anti-codon, and T loops).
Source: RNAcentral